UUAAAGUCUGACCUGCCCACUGAAAUUUUAAAUGGCCGCAGUAUUCUAACUGUGCAAAGGUAGCAUAAUCAUUAGUCUUUUAAUUGAAGGCUGGAAUGAAUGGUUGGACGAAAUAUUAACUGUUUCAUUUUAAUUUAUAAUAGAAUUUUAUUUUUUAGUCAAAAAGCUAAAAUUUAUUUAAAAGACGAGAAGACCCUAUAAAUCUUUAUAUUUAAUUUAUUAUUAUUAUAAAGAUUAUUUUUAUUUUAAUAAAUUUAAAUAUUUUAUUGGGGUGAUAUUAAAAUUUAAAAAACUUUUAAUUUUAAAAAUCAUUAAUUUAUGAAUUAUUGAUCCAAUUAUAUUGAUUAAAAAUUUAAGUUACUUUAGGGAUAACAGCGUAAUUUUUUUGGAGAGUUCAUAUCGAUAAAAAAGAUUGCGACCUCGAUGUUGGAUUAAGAUAUAAAUUUGGGUGUAGCCGUUCAAAUUUUAAGUCUGUUCGACUUUUAAAUUCUUACAUGAUCUGAGUUCAAACCGGCGUAAGCCAGGUUGGUUUCUAUCUUUAAAAAAUUAUAAUAUUUUAGUACGAAAGGACCAAAUAUUAAAAUAAUUAUAUUUUUAAAAAGAAUAUUAUUAAUUUAA
Molecule: ribosomal RNA, 618 nt
Filed under: Drosophila rubida
Lineage: Eukaryota; Metazoa; Arthropoda; Insecta; Diptera; Drosophilidae
Description: partial 16S ribosomal RNA
Rfam family: Bacterial large subunit ribosomal RNA
Source: RNAcentral